GAUGAACGCUGGCGGCGUGCCUAAUACAUGCAAGUCGAGCGAACGGACGAGAAGCUUGCUUCUCUGAUGUUAGCGGCGGACGGGUGAGUAACACGUGGAUAACCUACCUAUAAGACUGGGAUAACUUCGGGAAACCGUAGCUAAUACCGGAUAAUAUUUUGAACCGCAUGGUUCAAAAGUGAAAGACGGUCUUGCUGUCACUUAUAGAUGGAUCCGCGCUGCAUUAGCUAGUUGGUAAGGUAACGGCUUACCAAGGCAACGAUGCAUAGCCGACCUGAGAGGGUGAUCGGCCACACUGGAACUGAGACACGGUCCAGACUCCUACGGGAGGCAGCAGUAGGGAAUCUUCCGCAAUGGGCGAAAGCCUGACGGAGCAACUCCGCGUGAGUGAUGAAGGUCUUCGGAUCGUAAAACUCUGUUAUUAGGGAAGAACAUAUGUGUAAGUAACUGUGCACAUCUUGACGGUACCUAAUCAGAAAGCCACGGCUAACUACGU
This 496-nucleotide ribosomal RNA is filed under the name uncultured bacterium. Its description in RNAcentral is "partial 16S ribosomal RNA". It matches the Rfam family "Bacterial small subunit ribosomal RNA", at positions 28 to 506 of the family's 1533-position model. The record is from RNAcentral.